CACGACUCUCUGAACAUCACAAACUCUGUUAGAGUCCUGAGCCUGACUGGAAGUGACUGGAGUAGUUAUAGCAUGCAAGUUUUACAGAAACCUAACUAAUAAUUAUUUGUGUAUAUUUUGUAGGGUAGCUAGACUGAUUUUCUAGCAUGUCAAUUCCUGAUGCGUAAGUGCAUUAGGUCCUUAUUGUCUGAGUAAACAUAGUAACAACAGUUGUGAGUUCUUUUGACAUGUGUACUCAGCUUUGACACAUUGUUUGACACCCUACAGUAGGAUUUUGGGUUUAUCACAUUUCAUUGAGGGAUUUUGAUAGGUCUCAAACAUGCUGGAAGCACCUAAAGAAUGAGGUUGUUCUUCUAGAGUUAAAUGUGGUUGUUUUGGUUUCCCCAAUCACUGAUGUGGGGACAGUAAAGAUAAUUGUAAAUGCCUUUGAGAGGGUUUACACUGUUUAAAUGGGUCUACAGUAGGAAAGAGUGCAGCACAAUGCAUCGAUCUCUCUGUUGUAAAUGUAGCUCAAAGUGUUUAAUAUAUGUUGGCUGUGUGGAAAUUCAUGGCUACUUCUGGGUUUUACCGCAGACUUUGGAAAGCACUAACAUUGAAGUUAGUUUAUGUUUGUGGUAUUCACUUAGGUACAGAUAUAGUCACUGUCCUUUAUGGCAAACAUCUGGACAGGGCAAAGCAAAUGGCACGAAGGAGUGUGUGUGAUGUUUGGUGAGGCAUCUGUGCCUCAAUCCCUAAUAACACUGGGGGUGAGGGUCUUUUAAUCAAUAAAUAAAUAUUAAUAAAUUGGGAAACAUGGGUUGAUGGAUUUAAUGAUAAAUUGGGAAAGAUAUAUCACACACUGAAAGACUUCCUUAUCUAAACAACGGGUUCUUAUGAAAGAGCAGCUUGAUGUAACUAAAGUUGAAGUUUUCUUUUGCAGAUGAACAACAGAGGCUGUUUCAUUUCUGUAUAUGAUCUCAUAUUGUGUUUUCCUUUAUGAUAUAACUGCCAUCCUUCAAACAAAGGGUGGAGACUCAGAUGGAGCGAAGAUGACCAUAAAGUGUGAGUUUGUUUGUUUUUUUCCCUUCUGAUUAUAGGGAGGAUGCACAUUAUGGAAUUUCUUUGAGUACGCAAUUGUGCUGAUGUUAUUUUCAGUAGUUAGAAAAGAAAUCUCCAUGGUUUUAUGUGAUUCUUAAUUGUGGUAUCACAAAGGGUGGGAAUGUGGUGGCAGAUUUCUUUUUUCAUAUAUUAAUCACAUAUUUAAUUAUAUCACAUUAGUUGUAGUAAUAUCACUUUCUCACUUUACCAUAGUAAGAGCACUCCUGCCACUACUUUACAUGCAUGUGGAAAGUUAACACAGUGAGGCCAUUGUAAUGGGAGACAUUAAACAGAUAGUGAGACUUCUUCUGCUUAUCAGGGAUGUAAAUCCUUAGGUGAAGGCUAAGCAGAAAACAAGGUCAUAAUUCUCUCUGUGCGGGAGGAGGUAUAGCCCCCCGUGAGAGGGGCCAACAUGUUAGAGUUUGUGCAAUGUUCUUUGUCUGUGUGUCUGUAUAUAAGAUGUAAGGGCAGUGGCCACAAGGCAGAGAUGGUCCUGGUGUUUCACUGGGAUACUCUCUCCACAUUGCAAUGUAUUUAUUAAACCCACUUCAAAUCAAGCUCACUGGGUGUGUUGCAGGUUAUUGUUAAAAUUUCCAUAACACUACUUAUGAGAAUAUUGACAAUACUGUGCAUUGUUAAGAGAUUACAUUGCUGCAUUCUGUUGUUUUUGUCCUUUUUUUCUCCCCCCAUGUUCACCUUAUGAGGUCACCAAAUACUCUUGUCUUUAUUGGUUUAUGCAUAAAGAGAGCAGGAACUUUCUCACUUGCACCUCAGCAAAGGUGUUUUUCUCUUCUGUACUAGAAGCACCAAGGUUAAUCAUAAACCAGGAUUACCAGGAUCCAGGUGCAUUCUAGGGCACCCAGGCGUUUCAGGCUUUCUGUCAUUUGAAAUGAAAAUGUUAGUAUGUUAUAUAGAUCAAAAUACCAGCUAACUAUAAGAACCUUGAUAUGAGUCAUCUGUUUGAACAUACACUGUCUGUGUUCUCUAAUACUCUGACGUUUAAUACUGAGAAACUGCAGGAUACAACUUUAAUUAUUAACUGACAAGUGAGGUCUUUGUUUUUUGGAAAUACAAAUACAUUUCCUCAAAGUCACCAAAUAAAAUACUCAAUGUGUAAUGAAGUGUAUUUUAUUUAAGAAAGCCACUAAAGACAAAUAAAGUAGCUCUCUAUGAAUAUAUAAGGUGAUGUCAUGUGAUCAGCUAUAGCGAGGCAUGCAAACUUUUCUUCUGUCAAAAUAGUAUGUGUGUGUCUGUGUGUGUAUAAGUAAAUAAACAGUGUUGAUGCUGAUGGAUGGUGGAUACCCACUGGUGACACGUGUGCUUUAUGGACCCUGUGAGAAAAUUUCCAAGAUCUUUAUCACAGAGGCGGACCUGGGAGAGGAAGUCACAUAUGAUACACACAUCAAAACAAUGGCGCAAUGAUAGACAGUUGGGUUAUAAUUAGCAAGCUGAGAAAUAUGGGCUCAAAAUGUGGUCAUAAAUAUUUUGUACUUGUAAAUCAGUUUUGUACUUGUAAAUCAGGAUUUGUAUGUGUAAAAAGAAUUUGUGUGUGUAAAAAAGAUCUGCGUGUGUGUAGAAAAGAUUUGUAUGCAUUUAAAAAGAAUUUGUGUGUGUGUAAAAAAGAUUUGUAUGUGUAAAAAGAAUGUGUGUGUGCAUAAAAAAAGAUUUGUAUGUGUAAAAAGAAUUUGUGUGUGCUAAAAAAGAUUUGUGUGCGGACUUAGCCAAAGAAACCCUGCAAGUUACAAGUACGAAUUUUGACCUGAUUUUUCUUCCUUUCAUC
This is a long non-coding RNA of Oreochromis aureus, 2857 nucleotides long. The record is from Ensembl. NCBI's taxonomy places the organism in Eukaryota, Metazoa, Chordata, Actinopteri, Cichliformes, Cichlidae.